RNAcentral lists this ribosomal RNA (490 nucleotides) under uncultured bacterium. RNAcentral describes it as "partial 16S ribosomal RNA". It matches the Rfam family "Bacterial small subunit ribosomal RNA", at positions 28 to 507 of the family's 1533-position model. The record is from RNAcentral.
GAUGAACGCUAGCUACAGGCUUAACACAUGCAAGUCGCAGGGUAACAUGAGGAAAGCUUGCUUUCCUUGAUGACGACUGGCGCACGGGUGAGUAACGCGUAUCCAACCUUCCCAUAACUACGGGAUAACCCGUUGAAAGACGGCCUAAUACCGUAUGACAUCGUUUGCUGACAUCAAAUAACGAUUAAAGGUUUAGCGGUUAUGGAUGGGGAUGCGUCUGAUUAGCUUGUUGGCGGGGUAACGGCCCACCAAGGCGACGAUCAGUAGGGGUUCUGAGAGGAAGGUCCCCCACAUUGGAACUGAGCCACGGUCCAAACUCCUACGGGAGGCAGCAGUGAGGAAUAUUGGUCAAUGGGCGAGAGCCUGAACCAGCCAAGUAGCGUGCAGGAUGACGGCCCUAUGGGUUGUAAACUGCUUUUAGGUGGGGAUAAAGUGCGUGACGUGUCAUGCAUUGCAGGUACCACAUGAAUAAGGACCGGCUAAUUCCGUG